RNAcentral lists this ribosomal RNA (1638 nucleotides) under Triticum aestivum (bread wheat). RNAcentral's name for it is "partial small subunit ribosomal RNA". The record is from RNAcentral. Lineage: Eukaryota; Viridiplantae; Streptophyta; Magnoliopsida; Poales; Poaceae.
AUGGACGCUGCAACCGCCGCGACGGCGACCGCGGCGGCGGCGUUGGUCUGGUUCCGGAAGGGCCUGCGCGUGCACGACAACCCGGCGCUCGACGCGGCCCGGCGCAGCGCCGCGCGGGUCUACCCGGUGUUCGUGCUCGACCCGCGGUACCUCCGCCCGGACCCGGCCGCGCCCUCCCCGGGCUCCGCGCGCGCCGGGGUCGCGCGCGUCCGCUUCCUCCUCGAGAGCCUCCGCGACCUGGACGCCCGCCUCCGCCGCCUCGGCUCACGCCUCCUCGUCCUGCGCGCCCGCGACGACGUCUCGGACGCCGUCUGCGCAGCCCUCAAGGACUGGAACAUCGGCAAGCUGUGCUUCGAGUCCGACACCGAGCCGUACGCCCUGGCCCGCGACAAGAGAGUCACGGAUUUUGCUGCUGCGUCGGGGAUCGAGGUGUUCUCGCCUGUCAGCCACACCCUUUUUGACCCAGCAGAAAUCAUAGAGAAGAAUGGGGGCCGGCCACCGUUGACAUACCAAUCGUUUGUGGCCACCGCUGGAGAGCCGCCCAAGCCAGUGAUGGAGAAAUACUCUGAGCUGCCGCCAAUCGGCGAUACCGGAGGAUAUGAGUUAUUGCCUGUGCCCAAACUGGAGGAGCUUGGGUAUGGUGAUCUCAGCCAGGAGUACAUUCCUCCAUUCCGCGGUGGCGAGACAGAAGCUCUGAAGAGGAUGAGAGAGUCACUCCAGGAUAAGGAGUGGGUUGCCAAGUUUGAGAAACCUAAGGGUGACCCUUCUGCCUUCUUGAAACCAGCAACAACGGUCUUGUCACCGUAUCUGAAAUUCGGCUGCCUGUCGGCGAGGUACUUUUACCACUGCAUUCAAGAUGUCUACAGGAGUACCAAAACGCAUACAAAACCACCUGUUUCGUUGGCUGGCCAGUUGCUGUGGAGGGAUUUCUUCUACACAGUGUCUUUUGGCACUCCUAAUUUCCAUCAGAUGGAAGGGAACAAAAUAUGCAAACAGAUCCCAUGGAGAGAGAACGGGGAGCUGUUUGUUGCAUGGAGAGAUGGCCGGACAGGAUAUCCAUGGAUUGAUGCCAUCAUGAUUCAGCUGAGGAAGUGGGGUUGGAUGCAUCAUCUUGCACGCCACUCUGUUGCUUGUUUCCUGACGCGGGGUGAUCUGUACAUCCACUGGGAGCAAGGCCGUGACGUCUUCGAAAGGCUACUGAUAGAUUCGGACUGGGCCAUUAACAAUGGCAAUUGGCUAUGGCUCUCCUGUUCAUCAUUCUUCUACCAGUAUCAUAGAAUCUACUCCCCAAUCUCAUUCGGAAAGAAGUACGACCCCAACGGAGACUACAUCAGGCAUUUCAUCCCAGUGCUGAAAGACAUGCCCAAGGAGUACAUCUACGAGCCUUGGACUGCACCCCUGAGCGUGCAGGAGAAAGCCAGGUGCAUCGUCGGCAAAGACUACCCAAAACCAGUGGUUGACCAUGAAGCUGCAAGCAAAGAAUGCAGGAAGAGGAUGGAGGAAGCUUAUGCGUCUAAUCGCCUAGGCGGCAACCCUGUCAAAGGGAAUUCCUCGAAUUCAUCGCGAAGGAAGUUUUCUGAUGGUGGCCAAGAUGUCCCCGACUCAUCCAUGUCCAAGCAACCGAGGAAGAGAAGCUGA